Molecule: ribosomal RNA, 505 nt
Filed under: uncultured bacterium
Lineage: Bacteria
Description: bacterial SSU rRNA
Rfam family: Bacterial small subunit ribosomal RNA
Source: RNAcentral
GAUGAACGCUGGCGGCGUGCCUCAAACAUGCAAGUCGAGCGAGGCUAUGAAUUACCGCAAGGUAAGGCAUAGCCUAGCGGCGAACGGGUGAGUAACACGUGGGUAACCUACCUGGAAGACAGGGAUAACGAUUCGAAAGGGUCGCUAAUACCUGAUAAUAUCCAUCUGCCGGAUGGCGGAGGGAAGAAAGGGGGAACCCGCUUUCAGGAUGGGGCCCGCGUCCCAUCAGCUAGUUGGUAAGGUAAAGGCUUACCAAGGCGACGACGGGUAGCCGGGUCUGAGAGGAUGUACGGCCACACUGGGACUGAGAUACGGCCCAGACUCCUACGGGAGGCAGCAGUUGGGAAUCUUAGGCAAUGGACGAAAGUCUGACCUAGCGACGCCGCGUGAGGGAAAAGGCCUUCGGGUUGUAAACCUCUGUCAUGGGGGAAGAAGGAAGUGACGGUACCCCAAGAGGAAGCCCCUGCUAACUACGUGCCAGCCAGCCGCGGUAAAAGUGUGUGUA